UUCCCAUUAUGGCUUAUAAAACUUAAAUAUUUUAGUGUGUAAAUAAAGUAAUUUUGUAAAUAAAAUCUUAUAAUUAAAAUUAGUUUUUUUAUAGUUUUAUAACUUCAAAAUAAUCGAUGUGGAUCUCAUAUGAUUUAACUUGUUUUCUUUAAAUAUUUAGUUUUUCUUACUCGUCAAAAAUAAAUAGUUUAAUUAUUUUUAUAAUCAAUUAAAAUUUGUGAAAUCAUGACGCGUCUAUUAGUAUUUACAUAGAUUAAAUACAUGUGUAUUUAAUCUAUGGUAUUUACAGUGAGGCUGGUGCUAAACUAUAGUUUUUAUACUACAUAAAAUAAACGUGUGUCGUUAUCAAUAUAAUCGAAUGCAUCAAAAAGUAAGGCAGGUACACAACCGGUUUUGUUAUCGACUAUAACACGACGAAAAUACUCCCAAUAAUGGACACUCACACUAAUAAUAAUUUAUUUCUCACACAACGACACUGCGUAACAUGUAAAAACUGCAAAAUUGAGGAUAUUCUGAAUAAUGGCUAGUAAUGAAUGCCCAAAAAGAUAAGUUCAACAGAUAAAGCAGGACUUAUUAAAUUGUUUGGUUACAAGUAAAUGGGUAAAUAAUGAAAUCGUAGACGUGAGUAAGUUUACUUUUCUACAUACACCCAAAGAAAAACCUCAAUCAAUUUUGAUAGAGAAAUUUUAUCAAGGGUUUAUGAUAAUGUUUUAUUAAUACGAACAAAAUAACUAUUCUUAUAAAUAAUUAUUGUUCAAGACAAGAAUAAAAAAUAUUAUAUUGAUAAAUAUAUCAUAGGUUCAAUAGUAAUGAUAUAUUUAUCAAAUUGAACAAUGAGUUUAUUAUAUAGAUCGAGGUUUUUCUCUGGGUGUCGUGUAGUAUAUAUGAAUAUAGGGGCAUCUAUUGAAGAUGAUAAAUUCAAUAUGAUUUCAAAAACACUUAUUAAUACAAUUUCAAAAAUGUGAUGUAUACACGGUAAAUAAAAAAUAUCACACCCCAACAUUUGCUACAAUAAUAUGCAGUUAAACCCCAUUUUUGAAUUGCUGCAAAGAUAGCUGCUGCUUGACCUUCCCCGAACCAGAAGAAAUUUCAGGCAUAUCAAAUGUAUUGAGACUAAAUGAUUCUGCAGUUGCUAUUAAUAUAAGAACAGCGUCUCUGUCGCUAAUUUUGCACUCAUCAAAUGCAGUGACCAGUUUAUCAGUUAAUAUAUUCUUUUUAACUCUAAAAUUGGAAAUAAUAGUUUUUUCAAUUAAUUCUUCAAUCACAUCAAACUCGCUAGAACUGUUUGAAGACGAACACAACAUUUCUGAGUUAACUACUUAACCUAAACUAAAUAUGAUGGAAAAGAAAUUGGACGGAUUUGGAAUCAGCGUCGAAAUGCCAUAAAGAAUUUACUAAAAUAUUGUACAAUAUUAUAGAACACUUUUUUAAUAUUUAUUAUAUAAUUCUUAUAUAAUUUUUACAAAAUAAAUAUUUUUAAUUAAAUAAAGUACAUUUAGUAAUAAUGCUCCAUCUUGAUGUGUU
This is a long non-coding RNA of Daktulosphaira vitifoliae (grape phylloxera), 1524 nucleotides long. RefSeq lists it as uncharacterized. NCBI's taxonomy places the organism in Eukaryota, Metazoa, Arthropoda, Insecta, Hemiptera, Phylloxeridae. The transcript has 4 exons. The record is from RefSeq and is a predicted model, not a curated record.